ACACACACACUCCCACACUUUUAAAACAAUAACCAGAGCAUUGAGAAAUGAAAUACCAUAUACACACAUAUUAACACAUUUUUAAAUACACACUCACCUUCAAAACACUGAGAGGAAUCAGCUGCUAGCCUCUCACACACACACACACACACACACACACACACACACACACACACACACACACACACACACACACACACACACACACACACACACACUGCUCUCUUCCCUUUACAGCAGCAGCAUCAGUAAAUAGUUUGUCUAUAACAGGAAACAGCACAUGGACAGAAAAGUGACCGAUCGUCUCUCCUGAAGCAGCUUCAAAACAUUCACUGAUUCAAAGCUAACAGUCUAAAAGAAAUACGACUAAAUGAACUAACUUUAAAGAAGCUAUUCUCAUAUCAGACCGACAGUUGGUCGGCUAAUUCUGUUGCUGAAAGGUUGAAAAGGGCGAGUCUCAAAUUAGAAGCUCAUUUAGUCUGAUAGUCAGAGCAGCCUGAGACAUACUCGACAUAAAGUUAUUCGAGUUAAAGUAAGUUACUUGAGUAGAAGUUAAAGAAGUCUUCAAAAUAAAAAAGAGGAGAGAGGAGAACACCGGCACACUUCUGUCUUAUUUGUUGUCUUCAUCAGGUAAAGAAGUGAACACAUGAUCACGAUGACCUGCCACAUUUACACAAUAUUCACAGUCUGUAUCUCUACAGUAUGAUCACAAAGUAUAACAUCAUCAGAUUAUAAGUGAAGUUUCUCGUCAUGUUCUUCAGUUGUCAUCUCUUAUUUCAUCUUGUGUCCACGUGUUACAGCGUCUCAGAGUUCAACAGAUCCAUCAUCAGAUCAUGAAUCAAACAGAGACGACAAUCUGAGAUUGGCCGGCCUGGAUGGCGAUAGUGCUGAGAGUGGUGAAGGACGGCUUCAUGUUCCCUCCUCCUCCUCCUCCUCCUGCCUUCCUUCGUCCUCCACAUGUCACAGACUCUUCAGUCUCUCCGAUCGUCAUGAGGAAACACUGAAUCCAGGAAACUCUUCACAUGCAAAAGUUCCCAAAUCAGCUCCUGAAAUGAGAACUGCACCCGAGUGUUGUGCUGGGAAGAGUCGUGUCUCCAGGUUGAACUGACCUGUGCUGGUUGUUUCCUUUUCCUGACGGUCAAAUCUCCUACAGAACAACACAAAACAUGAAUGAGAGAAAAGUCUCCAGAGAAACAGUUAAAGCCACUGCAGUUCAGCCUCCCUGCACCCAAACUAAUCAAGGGCAGGAUCAACAAUGUUGAUCGUCUACAUUCAUAAUGAUUUAAACUCUUGUGUUGUACACGAGUGAAAAGAAGACUUUCUGAUCCUGACAUCCAAUUUUACUUUAAGUUUUUUUGUUGUUCAUGUGAAAAAAAGUCACAACAGAAUAAUUUUUAAAUUAAAUAGUCAGAUUUUAACAGCAGGCCACCAGAUUAAAGACAUGAAAUACACAGGUACUUCUUCUGAACAGCAGAUCAUUUGUAUUAAGUCUAAAAGUCAAGAAAUCAUUUAGGAAUGUUUCACAGAGUCGUCACCAGUAAUGAAAGCUAAUCUCUUUGGUUGGUGUUUAUUCUUUAAUAAAUGUACAGAAGUUAAUUCAUCAAUAAAUGAUUUAUGAGAUUUUCAUAAAUCAAACCUGACAACCCAAACAUGACUAGUUGUUACCAUUAAUAUUUGUUUUGGUUUUC
This is a long non-coding RNA of Acanthopagrus latus (yellowfin seabream), 1688 nucleotides long. RefSeq lists it as uncharacterized. The transcript is spliced from 3 exons. The record is from RefSeq and is a predicted model, not a curated record. Lineage: Eukaryota; Metazoa; Chordata; Actinopteri; Spariformes; Sparidae.